AACGCUGGCGGCGUGCUUAACACAUGCAAGUCGAACGGUGAAGCAGAGCUUGCUCUGUGGAUCAGUGGCGAACGGGUGAGUAACACGUGAGCAAUCUGCCCCUGACUCUGGGAUAAGCGCUGGAAACGGCGUCUAAUACCGGAUACGAGCUGCGACCGCAUGGUCAGUAGCUGGAAAGAAUUUCGGUCAGGGAUGAGCUCGCGGCCUAUCAGCUUGUUGGUGAGGUAAUGGCUCACCAAGGCGUCGACGGGUAGCCGGCCUGAGAGGGUGACCGGCCACACUGGGACUGAGACACGGCCCAGACUCCUACGGGAGGCAGCAGUGGGGAAUAUUGCACAAUGGGCGCAAGCCUGAUGCAGCAACGCCGCGUGAGGGAUGACGGCCUUCGGGUUGUAAACCUCUUUUAGCAGGGAAGAAGCGAAAGUGACGGUACCUGCAGAAAAAGCGCCGGCUAACUACGUGCCAGCAGCCGCGGUAAUACGUAGGGCGCAAGCGUUAUCCGGAAUUAUUGGGCGUAAAGAGCUCGUAGGCGGUCUGUCGCGUCUGCUGUGAAAACCCGAGGCUCAACCUCGGGCCUGCAGUGGGUACGGGCAGACUAGAGUGCGGUAGGGGAGAUUGGAAUUCCUGGUGUAGCGGUGGAAUGCGCAGAUAUCAGGAGGAACACCGAUGGCGAAGGCAGAUCUCUGGGCCGUAACUGACGCUGAGGAGCGAAAGGGUGGGGAGCAAACAGGCUUAGAUACCCUGGUAGUCCACCCCG
This 757-nucleotide ribosomal RNA is filed under the name Microbacterium arborescens. Its description in RNAcentral is "bacterial SSU rRNA". It matches the Rfam family "Bacterial small subunit ribosomal RNA", at positions 32 to 802 of the family's 1533-position model. Lineage: Bacteria; Bacillati; Actinomycetota; Actinomycetes; Micrococcales; Microbacteriaceae. The record is from RNAcentral.